UGGGGAAUCUUGCGCAAUGAGCGAAAGCCUGACGCAGCGACGCCGCGUGAGUGAUGAAGGCCCUCGGGUUGUAAAGCUCUGUGGAGAGGGACGAAUAAGUCGUGGCCAACAUCCACGAUGAUGACGGUACCUUUUUAGCAAGCACCGGCUAACUCUGUGCCAGCAGCCGCGGUAAGACAGAGGGUGCAAACGUUGUUCGGAAUUAAUGGGCGUAAAGCGCGUGUAGGCAGCCUCGCAAGUCGGAUGUGAAAGCCCUGGGCUUAACCUAGGAAGUGCAUACGAAACUGCAAGGCUGGAGUCCUGGAGAGGAAGGCGGAAUUCUCGGUGUAGAGGUGAAAUUCGUAGAUAUCGAGAGGAACACCGGUGGCGAAGGCGGCCUUCUGGACAGUGACUGACGCUGAGACGCGAAAGCGUGGGGAGCAAACAG
This 427-nucleotide ribosomal RNA is filed under the name uncultured bacterium. Its description in RNAcentral is "bacterial SSU rRNA". It matches the Rfam family "Bacterial small subunit ribosomal RNA", at positions 355 to 775 of the family's 1533-position model. The record is from RNAcentral.